GCAUCGGUGUGUGGACAAUCAAACUGUGGCAGAGGGACUAUGAGAAUUUCAGCGGGUGCAUGUAAAAUUCGACAGACGGACCGAAGUCCGGUAGAUUGCGACGAAUGCUAACGAAAGAUCAGUGACCUGCCAAAGAUCACACAGCAUAUUACCAAACGAUUCCUUCUUUGUAGAUUUGACAACCGUGGAAAGCACAUCUACUUUGCGGACACGUGUACUUUCCCUACUUUUCAGUACCAGGGAGCGAAACGACUUCGAUUUGGAGCGAAAGGACUGGGGGCUAAAUUCGGCUAAGAUACAUCCGGGCAUUUUCAACAUGGCUGCCUCCAUGUCAAGGUUGCUCUCUCCUGGUAACUGGACUCAUCUUAUGAAAAUAUCCAGAAUGACACAACAGAUAUUGCAGCGAAAAGUCUAUCAAAUUCAAAUAAAGGUCCAGCCUAUCCACAGAACAAGCCUAUCUACUGUCUGCAGAGGUCCAAUCAUGUUUGGAAGAUAUCAUAUGACCAGUCGUCAGUCUUUCGACAUUCAACUCCGUCAUAUCGUCUCGAGAGUUUCAAAGAAAAAAUUCACAGCUCAGAACAAAAAAGACGGUAUCCCUACGGACUAUAUACUAGUAUACAACGCUAGCCUAACAAGUAAUAUGUAUUACUGCAACAUAAUUUUACACGUUAUUGCCAGCUUAGCUAUAUUACUCAUAGUAAAAAAUUCAUAUGAAUACUACCAAAUAAAGAAGAAGUUCAACAUUUUCGAACCACCUUUGUUAACCUGGAUUCUUUCAGGUGUUGUGGCCAUGAUAUUUUUAUUCUGUUGCCGUGGGCUUGCUAGAAGGAUGCUGCUUCGUAUAUACUACAAUGAGACGUCUGACACUUUCCGAGCUGUCUGUAUAAGUGGUAAUAGCAUCACUCGUAAAGUAAUCGAAUUCACACCGCAGGAUGUGCUGCAGAAAGACAUUACAGGAUACAUGAAACAUUUCUUUGGAAAUCUGAUGAUUUACGGCCGAGCAUACACAGUUGAGGACCGGGAUUUCCGAAGUCCGCAUUAUUAUAAUCAUAUGAUGCAAUGGGAGAAGCCAAAGACUGUAGAGUUUGAUGAUCAUAUUGACAGUAUCUUCAGAAAUAGACCACCGAAAGAUCGGAUGUGAUUUUUAAAAUUUGGCACCAGUUUGGUACUUGUAGCAUAGUUCUGGACUGGAAUUUCAAGACUUUUACAUGUACAUUUAUACACUCCAAUCCAGAAUAUGGAUGCAUGUGAAAAUUGGACUGUUUUUGGCACCCAAUUAAUUACGGAGGUCAUGUUUAUAGAUGGUGUAACUUCCUGGUGAAAACAAACGGGCAAAACACAAGCUCGGCUGCAACUAAUGUGUACAUGUAUUGUUUCGUGAAACACAUUUAAGAAUAAA
Long non-coding RNA from Lineus longissimus, 1399 nucleotides. RefSeq lists it as uncharacterized. The transcript is spliced from 3 exons. NCBI's taxonomy places the organism in Eukaryota, Metazoa, Nemertea, Pilidiophora, Heteronemertea, Lineidae. The record is from RefSeq and is a predicted model, not a curated record.